GUGGUCGCUUCAGCAGCACAUAUACUAAAACUAAAGUGAGACAGAGAAGAUUAGGAUGGCCCCUGCAUAAGGAUGACACACAAAUUUGUAAAGCAUUCCAUUUUUUA
Small nuclear RNA from Ictidomys tridecemlineatus (thirteen-lined ground squirrel), 107 nucleotides. Lineage: Eukaryota; Metazoa; Chordata; Mammalia; Rodentia; Sciuridae. The record is from Ensembl.